RNAcentral lists this non-coding RNA (138 nucleotides) under Leptolinea tardivitalis. Its description in RNAcentral is "FMN sequence". It matches the Rfam family "FMN riboswitch aptamer (RFN element)". Rfam says of the family: The RFN element is a highly conserved domain that is found frequently in the 5'-untranslated regions of prokaryotic mRNAs that encode for flavin mononucleotide (FMN) biosynthesis and transport proteins. This element is a metabolite-dependent riboswitch that directly binds FMN in the absence of proteins. Lineage: Bacteria; Bacillati; Chloroflexota; Anaerolineae; Anaerolineales; Anaerolineaceae. The record is from Rfam by way of RNAcentral.
AAUUUCCUUCGGGGCAGGGUGCGAGGUAACAACCUCAAUUCCCGAUCGGUGGUGAUAACCCACGAGCGCAGAACACCGCGCGCAUGACCUGGUGAAAUUCCAGGGUCGACGGUACAGUCCGGAUGCAAGAAGGAAACA